GAGGAUAAUGCAGAAAGCCCAACCCUCCCAAGAAUCGAAGCUCCCUCUCCUCCCAUGGAGCUCCUCCUCCUCCAUCCUCCUCCCUUCCCCUCCCUCCUCCUCCUCCACAAACCCUACCACUUCCCCUCCAAGCUCCGCCAUGGCCGCCUGCAAGAACCCCGCGUCAUGGCGUCCCCGCAGGCGCCUCCCCUCCCGCUUUCGUCGCUCCAAGAAUCGAGAAGCGCUCGUAUCCGUAUCCCCCGCGACGAGCCGAGGCCGACGCCGCCCGCGCGCAGCAGCAGCAGGGAGGAGCCCCGGUUCGUCGCGGAGACCAAACUCAUCACCGUGCAUUCCUGCGCGGGGCGGCUCGGGGACGCACGGGAGGUGUUCGACGGAAUGGGCCGCAGGGACCUGCUCGCCUGGUCGGCCAUGAUCGGCGCGUACGCCAUCAGGGGAAUGUACAGUGACGUCCUCGCGCUCGCGGUGACCAUGGUCGAGGAAGGGGUGCUCCCGGACAGGUUCCUGAUCACGCGGAUUUUACAGGCGUGCGCAUAUGCCGAGGACCUUGAGCUUGGUAGGGCGCUCCAUUCCAUGGCUAUCAGGAGAGGGUUCAUGGGGAGGGUAAAGGAUGUGCCGGUUGGGAACUCGGUGCUUGUGAUGUAUGCCAAAUGUGGAGAUUUGGGGUGGGCGCGCAAGGUGUUUGACAAGAUGGUGUGCAGGGACUUGGGCACAUGGAAUUCGAUGAUUUUUGGUUAUUGCCGGUCUGCUGAGUGGGAGGAGGCACGGCAUCUGCUCGACUCCAUGAGGCAGGAAGGUACGCAGCCAGGGGUUGUUACGUGGAAUACAUUGAUUUCGAGCUAUGCCAGGUUCGGGGAUCUUGAUGUGGCAAUGGAAUUGCUUGGGCAGAUGGAGGAGUCUGGAGUUGCACCGGAUGUCGUCACAUGGACUAGCCUUGUCUCUGGCUUUGUUCAUAUGGAUAGGAGUGAUGAGGCACUUCGAUGUUUCAUUCGGAUGCGUCUUGCUGGAGUUGAACCUAACGGCAUGUCAAUUGCAUGUGCUAUCUCAGCUUGUGCCAGUUUGAAGUUACUAAACCAGGCAAAGGAGCUCCAUAGCCAUGCUAUUAAGGUUGGCAGUGUUAACAACGUGCUCUCAGGGAACUCCUUGGUUGACAUGUAUGCAAAAUGUGGAGAAAUAGUUGCAGCUUGGAGAAUAUUUAGUGGGAUACCUGACAAGGAUAUAUUCUCCUGGAAUUCAAUGAUUUCAGGGUAUGCACAAGCAGGUUAUUGUGGCAAAGCAUACGAGCUCUUCUGUAAGAUGGAAAACUAUGGUGUUCGGCGCAAUGUGAUAACCUGGAAUACAAUGAUCUCAGGGUACAUACGGAAUGGGGAUGAUGAGAGAGCUUUUGAGCUAUUCCAGAUGAUGGAAAGUCAUGGAGUAAAAAGGGAUACAGCAACCUGGAACAUACUCAUUGCUGGAUCAGUGCAUAAUGGUUAUUAUGAUAGAGCCAUAAGAAUAUUCCGGCAGAUGCAGGCACUUCUGAGGAGGCCUGACUACAUUACCAUCCUUAGCAUUAUUCCAGCAUUCACAAAUCUAGUUGCGUCCUGGAAAGUACGGGAGAUCCAUGCCUGUAUUUUUCACCACAAUUUAGAACUGGAUGGCAAAAUUGCAAAUGCACUUAUCAAUGCAUAUUCAAAAUCUGGUAAUCUUGCUAGUGCGUGUGCUGUGUUUGAUAUGCAUUCAUCAAGGAACAUUAUUUCUUGGAACUGUAUCAUUCUCGCUCAUGUGCUGCAUGGUUCUCCAAAUGAAGCCUUGGAUCUUUUCUGUCAAAUGAAGCAAGAAGGUGUUGUGCCAGAUCAUACAACUUUGGUCACUGUUAUCAAGGCCUAUGGUCUCACGGGAAAGGUAUCUGAAGGGUCUCAGACAUUUUUCAACAUGGCCAAUGAUUACAAUAUAACUCCAGAAUUAGACCAUUAUGCAGCAAUGGUGGAUCUUCUUGGUCGGUCAGGGAGACUAAAAGAAGCAUAUGAGCUUAUUGACGAGAUGCCUUUGAUACCCAAUUCAACAGUCUGGGACACAUUUCUUACUGCAGCUGUAAUGCAUGGAAAUGUAAGACUGGCUCACCUGGCAGCUAGAGAACUGUCUGCGAUUGAUCCUGGAGAUCCCAGAGUCCAAAGGUUAGGUUCUAGUCUGCAAGAUCUAACUGGAAAAACUGUUGAUGUGCCAGAGGAGAUGACACCCAACAAAGGAAGAAAUUUAGAUGAGGUCGAGAGCUGUUCAAUAGAAAUCAGGAAUAAGGUGUAUGUGUUCUCAAAUGGUGAUAAUGUUGGCUUGGAGGAUACAGUAGCAGAAUUAAAGUCGAUGAUGUUUAAGAUGGGACAUUCUAUGCUUGACAUUGGCAUUGGAACUCUAGAUGUUGAAGAAGAAAAGGAAGAAGUUGUUGGAGUCCAUUGUGAGAAGCUAGCUAUUGCAUUUGGGCUUUCUAAUUCCCCACAGUUCAAAAACAUAAGGAUAAUCAAAACUGCAAGGAUGUGUAACCAUUGCCACACCUUUGCCAAACUAGUUUCAGAGAAAUAUGGACGCCAUAUACUGAUCAAGGAUCCAAAGUGUUUGCAUAAGUUUGAGGAUGGAAAAUGCUCUUGUGAAGAUUAUUGGUGAAUGAUGAAUACAACUAGUUUAUGUCUACUGGGUAAAAUAUCUUGCCAAGUGUCCUUUUGCAGGAUUACACGCUGCUAACCUCUUGAACAGAAUUCAAACACUUGGAGGAUAGCCUAUCCAUCAAUUCAACCCCCAGACAAAAAUAUCCAGUACUAUGUGGUAUCAGAAAAGGAGACUGUUCUGAUGCUAUUCCAGCUUCAGUUUAGGUUUAUUUUGAACGGCUUGGGAGACAGUACUGGUGGUUACUCCAUUCCAUCAUUCAAGAAACAGUUUGGUUCAGAAGCAUGAACAUGGCAAUGUAACUUUGAGAGUUAUAGACUUGAAUGGAAAAAAUGAAAUUCUUCAAGUGGUUCCUAUUUAUACACUGCUGGAGCAAAUAAGAAUUAUCUUAGUAGAUUUUAAUAGCACCAUAAACAUUAGGGAUAGUGAGGCUAGAAAAUCUAUUGUCCACAUUCAUUAGGUCCAAUCUAAUACGGAACCAUCAUAUUACAUUACGCUUCAUUUGCCUCCCGUUCGAUGACACAAUUUGUUGGAUUUGUUUGCCCCUCUGACCAAAGGAAACCACGUGGAAAGCGUGGUUAUCAGCUAAUCAUGUGGAAGGAGGGGAUGAACAGAGGAGAACGAAGAGAUGCUAAGAUCAGAGAAGACAGAGGACGAAAAGAAUUUAAUAGUACCACUCACUUUGCUCGAUUGCUUCCAACAAUGUUAUGCCGAUGAGGAGGAUUAUAGUGACUUGCUCACUUUGAGAAUUGACCAUUUUGCCCCUGUACAUUUCCUGUCUGGAACUGGUAUAGCUAUAGUUGAGAUAAAGUGUUUAGCUAAAGAUGGAUGGGAGGAUCGGUGGGUCAAAUCUGAGUGGAAGAAGGAGGACAACACAGUCGGCGAGUGGAACCACACGGCCGGCAAGUGGAACGGCGACACCAACAACAAGGGUAUCCAGACAUCAGAGGACUACAGAUUCUACGCCAUUUCGGCCGAGUACCCUGAGUUCAGCAACAAGGACAAGACCCUCGUGCUGCAGUUCUCGGUGAAGCACGAGCAGAAGCUCGACUGCGGCGGCGGCUACGUGAAAUUGCUUGGCGGCGAUGUUGACCAGAAGAAGUUUGGUGGCGAGACACCGUACAGCAUCAUGUUUGGACCAGAUAUCUGCGGGUAUGCCACCAAGAAGGUUCACGCUAUCCUUACUAAGGGUGUGUUUGAGGAGAAGGAGAUAGAGAAGAUUGGGAAGGUACGCAAAACGAGCCUAAGAACGGCAAUAACCAUCUGAUCAAGAAGGACGUGCCAUGCGAGACCGAUCAACUGACACACGUCUACACCUUGAUCAUCCGUCCUGACGCCAAAUACAGCAUUCUGAUUGAUAACACUGAGAAGCGAACUGGAAGCAUCUAUGGUGAUUGUGAUAAUCUUCCUCCAAAGAAGAAGAAGGAUCCUGAAGCCAAGAAGGUUGAUGUGAUGGGAAAGGACUGAAGUUUAGAUCCAAACUUUGGAUCUAAACACAGCCUGGGACGACAAGGAAUCAUUCCUGAUCCUGAGUACGAGAAGCCUGAGGUUGCUUUCCUUUGUUUGCGCAACUUUAGAUGAUAUUUCUGUCUGAAGAUUAAUUGAGUUUUUACUAAUACCACUCUACUGAGUUUCUAAAUGAAAAUGGGUGGCAGUUUUGUACUGUAUGUUGUGAGCUUGCUGCUCCUCAGAUAGCAAUAGAGUACAUUGUGUUACAAAAGCAUCAUGAGGCCAUAUUUGAUCUCAUCAAAGGCUCAUCAAAGAGCAACAAUGGCAUCAAUCAAGUGACUUGUAACAGCCAUAUUAUGGAGUAUUUGUAUCACAAUAACAGUGAAUCCUAGGCUUGUACACAUACAAAUCCUCAAUAUAAAAGAGGACAUAUUGAGAUCAAUAAAAUGGGAUUCACUGUUUUCACUGUUUA
Non-coding RNA from Oryza sativa Japonica Group (Japanese rice), 4555 nucleotides. NCBI's taxonomy places the organism in Eukaryota, Viridiplantae, Streptophyta, Magnoliopsida, Poales, Poaceae. The record is from RefSeq and is a predicted model, not a curated record.